This 503-nucleotide ribosomal RNA is filed under the name uncultured bacterium. RNAcentral's name for it is "partial 16S ribosomal RNA". It matches the Rfam family "Bacterial small subunit ribosomal RNA", at positions 30 to 523 of the family's 1533-position model. The record is from RNAcentral.
AUUGAACGCUGGCGGCAGGCUUAACACAUGCCGGUCGAGCGGGGUGAUGGUGCUUGCACUAUCACUUAGCGGCGGACGGGUGAGUAAUGCUUAGGAAUCUGCCUAUUAGUGGGGGACAACAUCUCGAAAGGGAUGCUAAUACCGCAUCCGUCCUACGGGAGAAAGCAGGGGAUCACUUGUGACCUUGCGCUAAUAGAUGAGCCUAAGUCGGAUUAGCCAGUUGGUGGGGUAAAGGCCUACCAAGGCGACGAUCUGUAGCGGGUCUGGGAGGCGGAUCCGCCACACUGGGACUGGGACCCGGCCCAGACUCCUACGGGAGGCAGCAGUGGGGAAUAUUGGACAAUGGGGGGAAGCCUGAGCCAGCCAUGCCGCGUGUGUGAAGAAGGCCCUAUGGUUGUAAAGCACUUUAAGCGAGGAGGAGGCUCUUUUGGUUAAUACCCAAGAUGAGUGGACGUUACUCGCAGAAUAAGCACCGGCUAACUCUGUGCCAGCAGCCGCAGUAA